RNAcentral lists this ribosomal RNA (468 nucleotides) under uncultured bacterium. RNAcentral's name for it is "partial 16S ribosomal RNA". It matches the Rfam family "Bacterial small subunit ribosomal RNA", at positions 28 to 507 of the family's 1533-position model. The record is from RNAcentral.
GACGAACGCUGGCGGCGUGCUUAACACAUGCAAGUCGAACGGAAAGGCCCUGCUUUUGUGGGGUGCUCGAGUGGCGAACGGGUGAGUAACACGUGAGUAACCUGCCCUUGACUUUGGGAUAACUUCAGGAAACUGGGGCUAAUACCGGAUAGGAGCUCCUGCUGCAUGGUGGGGGUUGGAAAGUUUCGGCGGUUGGGGAUGGACUCGCGGCUUAUCAGCUUGUUGGUGGGGUAGUGGCUUACCAAGGCUUUGACGGGUAGCCGGCCUGUGAGGGUGACCGGCCACAUUGGGACUGAGAUACGGCCCAAACUCCUACGGGAGGAAGCAGUGGGGAAUAUUGCACAAUGGGCGGAAGCCUGAUGCAGCAACGCCGCGUGCGGGAUGACGGCCUUCGGGUUGUAAACCGCUUUCGCCUGUGACGAAGCGUGAGUGACGGUAAUGGGUAAAGAAGCACCGGCUAACUACGUG